UACGGAAGGUGCAAGCGUUGUUCGGAAUGAUUGGGCGUAAAGCGCGCGUAGGCGGGUUGAUAAGUCGGAUGUGAAAGCCCUGGGCUUAACCCAGGAAUUGCAUCCGAAACUAUUGAUCUUGAAUACCUGAGGGGUUAGUGGAAUUCCAGGUGUAGGAGUGAAAUCCGUAGAUAUCUGGAGGAACAUCAGAGGCGAAGGCGACUAACUGGCAGAGUAUUGACGCUGAGGUGCGAAAGCGUGGGGAGCAAAC
This 250-nucleotide ribosomal RNA is filed under the name uncultured bacterium. RNAcentral's name for it is "partial 16S ribosomal RNA". It matches the Rfam family "Bacterial small subunit ribosomal RNA", at positions 524 to 773 of the family's 1533-position model. The record is from RNAcentral.